Molecule: non-coding RNA, 309 nt
Organism: Ictidomys tridecemlineatus (thirteen-lined ground squirrel)
Lineage: Eukaryota; Metazoa; Chordata; Mammalia; Rodentia; Sciuridae
Source: RefSeq, a predicted model, not a curated record
AGCUGUAGCCAAAUCUGUCAUUAAUGCGAUGCAGGAGUUAUUCUGCUCCAAAGGAUUACCAAAGCCAGAGUAUCUCACACCUGAGCUGAUGAGAACAGGGGCCACAAGCCAUGUGGAGCUCCCCUACCCUGAAAAUACAGCCAAUUUGAAAUGCAAUAUGCUGUGAAUGUGAACACACCACAUUCCAAAGACUUCAUACAAGAAGAAGAAUGGUAGACAUCUCAUUUGUAAUUUUAAACUAUUGCUACAUGCUGCCAUAAUAUUUUAGUUACAGUAUGGGGCUAAAUAAAAAUACAUAAUUAAAAUUUA